AGGGAUAUAACUCUGCGGUAGAGUGUCACCUUGACGCAGAGGUGCUCAUCAGUUCGAGUCAGAUUAUCCCUA
Molecule: transfer RNA, 72 nt
Filed under: Gossypium hirsutum (cotton)
Lineage: Eukaryota; Viridiplantae; Streptophyta; Magnoliopsida; Malvales; Malvaceae
Also listed under: 1 other name
Rfam family: tRNA
About the family: Transfer RNA (tRNA) molecules are approximately 80 nucleotides in length. Their secondary structure includes four short double-helical elements and three loops (D, anti-codon, and T loops).
Source: Rfam by way of RNAcentral